RNAcentral lists this ribosomal RNA (497 nucleotides) under uncultured bacterium. RNAcentral describes it as "partial 16S ribosomal RNA". It matches the Rfam family "Bacterial small subunit ribosomal RNA", at positions 28 to 507 of the family's 1533-position model. The record is from RNAcentral.
GACGAACGCUGGCGGCGUGCCUAAUACAUGCAAGUUGAGCGCUGAAGGUUGGUACUUGUACCGACUGGAUGAGCAGCGAACGGGUGAGUAACGCGUGGGGAAUCUGCCUUUGAGCGGGGGACAACCUUUGGAAACGAAUGCUAAUACCGCAUAAAAACUUUAAACACAAGUUUUAAGUUUGAAAGAUGCAAUUGCAUCACUCAAAGAUGAUCCCGCGUUGUAUUAGCUAGUUGGUGAGGUAAAGGCUCACCAAGGCGAUGAUACAUAGCCGACCUGAGAGGGUGAUCGGCCACAUUGGGAGUGAGACACGGCCCAAACGCCUACGGGAGGCAGCAGUAGGGAAUCGUCGGCAAUGGACGAAAGUCUGACCGAGCAACGCCGCGUGAGUGAAGAAGGUUUUCGGACCGUAAAACUCUGUUGGUAGAGAAGAACGUUGGUGAGAGUGGAAAGCUCAUCAAGUGACGGUAACUACCCAGAAAGGGACGGCUAACUACGUG